RNAcentral lists this long non-coding RNA (1494 nucleotides) under Phasianus colchicus (ring-necked pheasant). Its description in RNAcentral is "lncRNA (ENSPCLG00000010003.1)". Lineage: Eukaryota; Metazoa; Chordata; Aves; Galliformes; Phasianidae. The record is from RNAcentral.
GGGGUGUGUGGGGGGGAAACACUUAAGCAGGUAAAAAACUCCCGCAGUGGGGUUUUAACCCAGAGCUGAAUGUCUCCGUCUCCAACAUUGGGUCGGAUUGAGGUUUUCUCGUCGAUGUGAGGCGAUGGGAUCGAGGGUUCCUCCGCUCUGUUGUUGGCCCGAAGAGCUUUUCCUCUGUGAGAUCUCGUAAGGAGAGCUGAAUAAAUAUGAUUUUCAAAUAGCCGAAGAAUUUAGCGGUGUGUGGGGGGGGAGAGGUUUGGAUGGGGGGGGCGGGGGAGGGUGGGAGAGGCAAAGCCCGGAGCCUGCAGUUGCACUGCUGCAGGAAGAACGGCUGGUAUCUGGCCUGAAAUUAAUCUUUCCCCAUAUUUAUUUACUUUAAGAGACAAUCCUGGAAUAAAUAGAGGCAUCUGGAGGACCAAGAAAUAUUUUUGCUGCCUCUUCAGAGCGUCUGCUUUGGAUUCACGCUGUCUAUUGUGUGCAAUCCUCCCCCCCCCCCGCACCCCCCCUUUCUUCCUCCCAUUUUUUUUUUUUUUUUUUAAUAGCAGAAAAGGAACAAAAGAAAGAGAGAAAGAACUUGGGCAGGCAGAAGAGGAGAGGAAGGGAGUGGGGAAAGGACAAAGCGGGGGGAAGAAGGGAACUCCGGAGCUGCUGAGAUGCAGAGGGAAGUUGGUUGCAGCUGACUUCGCUUUCUCGUACGGAGCGGUCGGAGCUCAGCACCGCCCUUCCCCGCUCCGCACGGCCGGAGGGGAGAAUCGCUCAAAGCGAAAGCAAAAGGUUUGGAAGGGAGAGGAGAGGGAUGCACCGCGCUGAGCACACAGCACUGUCCGGGAGCGGGCGGACAUGGGAAGGAGCAUUCAGCCCCGAAAAGGUAUUGAAAAGAGGAGGUGAGAGGCAAAGCCGUGAGCCUGCCUGGAAAGGGACCCGAUGGUUCACCAUCAUUUCGAGAAGAGAUCAUCUCCCCUCCAAGAGGGUAACCGGAGCUUUGGAGGAGCACAAACGCUGCGAGAUAACCUUGCAGGAGCUGAAGGCGAUGGCAAAGCGUGCUGUAAUUGCGGUGCGGAUCUUUGCUGGUGUUUCUGGCCAGGAGGAAUGCUCGGGAUCCCGCUGCUCUGAGCGGACUUUGAUUCGCGUAACUUUGCGCGCAGCCACGAGGGAUGGAUUCGGAUCGAGAGGAGCGAGAACGGAGAGUGUUUCGCGGGUGGGGGUAGUGGUGGUGAUGUUCGCAUCGUGUUUUGGGAUUCCGCAGCACAGAGGGGGGAGAGGAGGCUGCGUUAACCCGAGUUUGCUGUAAGGUGAAGUGUCUCCAUCUCCUCCUCGCACUGCUCGUUGCACUCCCCGAACGGAAGGGGUUUCGUAAGGCAACCGCGAUCGUUUCACGCGUUUUUUUAUGCGGGUUUGAGUGCGUGCGGAGCCCACGGCGACGCGGGGAGCGUUCAGUGCAACGGACGUUCCCGUGUCAAUAAAAGAAAUCUUCACCAGAUAUGUUCGCCUUUG